GUGCCUUCGGGAACUCUGAGACAGGUGCUGCAUGGCUGUCGUCAGCUCGUGUUGUGAAAUGUUGGGUUAAGUCCCGCAACGAGCGCAACCCUUAUCCUUGUUUGCCAGCGAGUAAUGUCGGGAACUCCAGGGAGACUGCCGGUGAUAAACCGGAGGAAGGUGGGGACGACGUCAAGUCAUCAUGGCCCUUACGAGUAGGGCUACACACGUGCUACAAUGGCGCAUACAGAGGGCAGCCAACUUGCGAAAGUGAGCGAAUCCCAAAAAGUGCGUCGUAGUCCGGAUUGGAGUCUGCAACUCGACUCCAUGAAGUCGGAAUCGCUAGUAAUCGUGGAUCAGAAUGCCACGGUGAAUACGUUCCCGGGCCUUGUACACACCGCCCGUCACACCAUGGGAGUGGGCUGCAAAAGAAGUAGGUAGUUUAACCUUCGGGGGGACGCUUACCACUUUGUGGUUCAUGACUGGGGUGAAGUCGUAACAAGGUAGCGCUAGGGGAACCUGGCGCUGGAUCACCUCCUUA
Molecule: ribosomal RNA, 520 nt
Filed under: Vibrio parahaemolyticus
Lineage: Bacteria; Pseudomonadati; Pseudomonadota; Gammaproteobacteria; Vibrionales; Vibrionaceae
Description: bacterial SSU rRNA
Rfam family: Bacterial small subunit ribosomal RNA
Source: RNAcentral